Molecule: ribosomal RNA, 234 nt
Filed under: Triticum aestivum (bread wheat)
Lineage: Eukaryota; Viridiplantae; Streptophyta; Magnoliopsida; Poales; Poaceae
Description: partial small subunit ribosomal RNA
Source: RNAcentral
AUGAUCAAGUGUUCUGCACACCCGAUUCGUUGCUCGGAGGAGCAAGUGCAGUGGAUAGCUGAGGAGCUGGGUUGCCAAGUGACCGGAUGGCCUUGCCGGUACCUCGGACUGCCUUUGGGUUUGCGCAAGAUAUCGGCAUCGCAGCUGCAGUACGUGGUGGAUAGAAUGGCCGGUCGCCUCCCCGCAUGGCAAGCAAGACUGCUCUUCCGGGCUGGGCGACUGGAGCUAGUAAAG